AUUGAACGCUGGCGGCAGGCCUAACACAUGCAAGUCGAGCGAGCGGCGGACGGGUGAGUAAUGUAUGGGGACUGCCCGAUAGAGGGGGAUAACGACUGGACACGGUAGCUAAUACCGCAUACUAUCGGAUAACCCAUAUGGGAUUAGCUAGUAGGUGGGGGAAAGGCUCACGUAGGCGACGAUCUCUAGCUAGUCUGAGAGGAUGUUCAGCCAAACGGGGACGGAGACACGCCCCAGACUCCUACGGAGGCAGCAGUGGGGAAUAUUGCACAAUGGGCGAAAGCCUGAUGCAGCCAUGCCGCGGGUAUGAAGAAGUUCUUAGGGUUGUAAAGUACGUUCAGCGGGGAGGCGUUACCCGCAGAAGAAGCACCGGCUAACUCCGUGCCAGCAGCCGCGGUAAUUC
RNAcentral lists this ribosomal RNA (403 nucleotides) under uncultured bacterium. RNAcentral describes it as "partial 16S ribosomal RNA". It matches the Rfam family "Bacterial small subunit ribosomal RNA", at positions 30 to 526 of the family's 1533-position model. The record is from RNAcentral.